This 271-nucleotide ribosomal RNA is filed under the name uncultured bacterium. RNAcentral's name for it is "partial 16S ribosomal RNA". It matches the Rfam family "Bacterial small subunit ribosomal RNA", at positions 335 to 601 of the family's 1533-position model. The record is from RNAcentral.
GGUCCUACGGGACGCAGCAGUGAGGAGUAUUGGUCAAUGGACGCAAGUCUGAACCAGCCAAGUAGCGUGCAGGAUGACGGCCCUCCGGGUUGUAAACUGCUUUUAGUUGGGAAUAAAAGGGGGCUCGUGAGCCCCGUAUUGUAUGUACCAUCAGAAAAAGGACCGGCUAAUUCCGUGCCAGCAGCCGCGGUAAUACGGAAGGUCCGGGCGUUAUCCGGGUUUAUUGGGGUUAAAGGGAGCGUAGGCCGGCUCUUAAGUCAGCUGUGAAAGU